This 270-nucleotide ribosomal RNA is filed under the name uncultured archaeon. Its description in RNAcentral is "partial 16S ribosomal RNA". It matches the Rfam family "Archaeal small subunit ribosomal RNA", at positions 477 to 747 of the family's 1478-position model. The record is from RNAcentral.
CAGCUCUUCGAGUGGUGUCCAUGAUUAUUGAGCUUAAAGCGUUCGUAGCCUGUUUGGUAGGUUCCUUCUCAAAUCCGGUCGCUUAACGGUCGGACUGGUAGGAAUACCGCCUUACUUGGGGACGGGAGACGGCGACGGUAUUCCGUAGGUAAGGGUGAAAUCUAAUGAUCUACGGAGGACCACCAGUGGCGAAGGCGGUCGUCGAGAACGUGCCCGACGGUGAGGGACGAAACCCAGGGGAGCAAAUCGGAUUAGAUACCCGAGUAGUCC